This 439-nucleotide ribosomal RNA is filed under the name uncultured bacterium. Its description in RNAcentral is "partial 16S ribosomal RNA". It matches the Rfam family "Bacterial small subunit ribosomal RNA", at positions 339 to 795 of the family's 1533-position model. The record is from RNAcentral.
CUACGGGUUGCUCCAGUGGGGAAUAUUGCACAAUGGAGGAAACUCUGAUGCAGCAACGCCGCGUGGAGGAUGACACUUUUCGGAGCGUAAACUCCUUUUAUAUAGGAAGAAGAUGACGGUACUAUAUGAAUAAGCGCCGGCUAACUCCGUGCCAGCAGCCGCGGUAAUACGGAGGGCGCAAGCGUUACUCGGAAUCACUGGGCGUAAAGAGCGUGUAGGCGGAUUAAAAAGUCAGAAGUGAAAUCCUAUAGCUUAACUAUAGAACUGCUUCUGAAACUCUGAAUCUAGAAUAUGGGAGAGGUAGAUGGAAUUUCUGGUGUAGGGGUAAAAUCCGUAGAGAUCAGAAGGAAUACCGAUUGCGAAGGCGAUCUACUAGAACAUUAUUGACGCUGAGACGCGAAAGCGUGGGGAGCAAACGGGAUUAGAUACCCUCGUAGUC